RNAcentral lists this ribosomal RNA (730 nucleotides) under uncultured bacterium. RNAcentral describes it as "bacterial SSU rRNA". It matches the Rfam family "Bacterial small subunit ribosomal RNA", at positions 771 to 1501 of the family's 1533-position model. The record is from RNAcentral.
AACAGGAUUAGAUACCCUGGUAGUCCACGCCGUAAACGAUGAGUGCUAGGUGUUGGGGGGCUACGCCCCUCAGUGCCGAAGGUAACCCAUUAAGCACUCCGCCUGGGGAGUACGGCCGCAAGGCUGAAACUCAAAGGAAUUGACGGGGGCCCGCACAGGCGGUGGAGCAUGUGGUUUAAUUCGAAGCAACGCGAAGAACCUUACCAGGGCUUGACAUCCCGCUGACCCCUCCAGAGAUGGAGGUUUCCUUCGGGACAGCGGUGACAGGUGGUGCAUGGUUGUCGUCAGCUCGUGUCGUGAGAUGUUGGGUUCAGUCCCGCAACGAGCGCAGCCCUUGUCGUUAGUUGCCAGCAUUUCGGAUGGGUACUCUAACGAGACAGCCGGUGAAAGCCGGAGGAAGGUGGGGAUGACGUCAAAUCAUCAUGCCCCUUAUGUCCUGGGCUACACACGUGCUACAAUGGCUGGUACAAAGGGCAGCGAACCCGCGAGGGGGAGCCAAUCCCAAAAAGCCAGUCUCAGUUCGGAUCGCAGGCUGCAACUCGCCUGCGUGAAGCCGGAAUCGCUAGUAAUCGCGGAUCAGCAUGCCGCGGUGAAUAUGUUCCCGGGCCUUGUACACACCGCCCGUCACACCACGAGAGUUUGCAACACCCGAAGUCGGUGAGGCAACCUUUUAGGAGCCAGCCGCCGAAGGUGGGGCAGAUGAUUGGGGUGAAGUCGUAACAAGGUAACC